UACAGAGGGUGCAAGCGUUGCUCGGAAUCAUUGGGCGUAAAGGGUAGGUAGGUGGUCUGAUUUUGUCUGUUUGGUGAAAGCCUGGGGCUUAACCCCAGAAGUGCCGCGGAAACGGUCAGACUUGGAGUACUGGAGAGGUAAGCGGAAUUCCCGGUGUAGCGGUGAAAUGCGUAGAGAUCGGGAGGAACACCCGUAGCGAAGGCGGCACUCUGGGCCGGUACUGACGCUGAGGAGCGAAAGCGUGGGGAGCAAACAGG
RNAcentral lists this ribosomal RNA (257 nucleotides) under uncultured bacterium. Its description in RNAcentral is "partial 16S ribosomal RNA". It matches the Rfam family "Bacterial small subunit ribosomal RNA", at positions 524 to 776 of the family's 1533-position model. The record is from RNAcentral.